UGAACGCUGGCGGCGUGCCUAAUACAUGCAAGUCGAGCGAACGGACGAGAAGCUUGCUUCUCUGAUGUUAGCGGCGGGCGGGUGAGUAACACGUGGAUAACCUACCUAUAAGACUGGGAUAACUUCGGGAAACCGUAGCUAAUACCGGAUAAUAUUUUGAACCGCAUGGUUCAAAAGUGAAAGACGGUCUUGCUGUCACUUAUAGAUGGAUCCGCGCUGCAUUAGCUAGUUGGUAAGGUAACGGCUUACCAAGGCAACGAUGCAUAGCCGACCUGAGAGGGUGAUCGGCCACACUGGAACUGAGACACGGUCCAGACUCCUACGGGAGGCAGCAGUAGGGAAUCUUCCGCAAUGGGCGAAAGCCUGACGGAGCAACGCCGCGUGAGUGAUGAAGGUCUUCGGAUCGUAAAACUCUGUUAUUAGGGAAGAACAUAUGUGUAAGUAACUGUGCACAUCUUGACGGUACCUAAUCAGAAAGCCACGGCUAACUACGUG
This 495-nucleotide ribosomal RNA is filed under the name uncultured bacterium. RNAcentral's name for it is "partial 16S ribosomal RNA". It matches the Rfam family "Bacterial small subunit ribosomal RNA", at positions 30 to 507 of the family's 1533-position model. The record is from RNAcentral.